UUUUAGAGUUUGGAUCUGGCUCAGGACGAACGCUGGCGGCGUGCCUAAUACAUGCAAGUCGAGCGGACAGAUGGGAGCUUGCUCCCUGAUGUUAGCGGCGGACGGGUGAGUAACACGUGGGUAACCUGCCUGUAAGACUGGGAUAACUCCGGGAAACCGGGGCUAAUACCGGAUGCUUGUUUGAACCGCAUGGUUCAAACAUAAAAGGUGGCUUCGGCUACCACUUACAGAUGGACCCGCGGCGCAUUAGCUAGUUGGUGAGGUAAUGGCUCACCAAGGCAACGAUGCGUAGCCGACCUGAGAGGGUGAUCGGCCACACUGGGACUGAGACACGGCCCAGACUCCUACGGGAGGCAGCAGUAGGGAAUCUUCCGCAAUGGACGAAAGUCUGACGGAGCAACGCCGCGUGAGUGAUGAAGGUUUUCGGAUCGUAAAGCUCUGUUGUUAGGGAAGAACAAGUACCGUUCGAAUAGGGCGGUACCUUGACGGUACCUAACCAGAAAGCCACGGCUAACUACGUGCCAGCAGCCGCGGUAAUACGUAGGUGGCAAGCGUUGUCCGGAAUUAUUGGGCGUAAAGGGCUCGCAGGCGGUUCCUUAAGUCUGAUGUGAAAGCCCCCGGCUCAACCGGGGAGGGUCAUUGGAAACUGGGGAACUUGAGUGCAGAAGAGGAGAGUGGAAUUCCACGUGUAGCGGUGAAAUGCGUAGAGAUGUGGAGGAACACCAGUGGCGAAGGCGACUCUCUGGUCUGUAACUGACGCUGAGGAGCGAAAGCGUGGGGAGCGAACAGGAUUAGAUACCCUGGUAGUCCACGCCGUAAACGAUGAGUGCUAAGUGUUAGGGGGUUUCCGCCCCUUAGUGCUGCAGCUAACGCAUUAAGCACUCCGCCUGGGGAGUACGGUCGCAAGACUGAAACUCAAAGGAAUUGACGGGGGCCCGCACAAGCGGUGGAGCAUGUGGUUUAAUUCGAAGCAACGCGAAGAACCUUACCAGGUCUUGACAUCCUCUGACAAUCCUAGAGAUAGGACGUCCCCUUCGGGGGCAGAGUGACAGGUGGUGCAUGGUUGUCGUCAGCUCGUGUCGUGAGAUGUUGGGUUAAGUCCCGCAACGAGCGCAACCCUUGAUCUUAGUUGCCAGCAUUCAGUUGGGCACUCUAAGGUGACUGCCGGUGACAAACCGGAGGAAGGUGGGGAUGACGUCAAAUCAUCAUGCCCCUUAUGACCUGGGCUACACACGUGCUACAAUGGACAGAACAAAGGGCAGCGAAACCGCGAGGUUAAGCCAAUCCCACAAAUCUGUUCUCAGUUCGGAUCGCAGUCUGCAACUCGACUGCGUGAAGCUGGAAUCGCUAGUAAUCGCGGAUCAGCAUGCCGCGGUGGAAUACGUUCCCGGGGCCUUGUACACACCGCCCCGUCACACCACGAGAGUUUGUAACACCCGAAAGUCGGUGAGGUAACCUUUAUGGAGCCAGCCGCCGAAGGUGGGACAGAUGAUUGGGGGUGAAGUCGUAACAGGGGUAACCCGUAAAAA
This 1529-nucleotide ribosomal RNA is filed under the name Bacillus halotolerans. Its description in RNAcentral is "bacterial SSU rRNA". It matches the Rfam family "Bacterial small subunit ribosomal RNA". The record is from RNAcentral. Lineage: Bacteria; Bacillati; Bacillota; Bacilli; Caryophanales; Bacillaceae.